AGUUAAUGAACUUGUAUAAGUAUAUGUUUUGAAAACAUAAUAAAGUGAUUCAAUUUACUAUUAACUU
Molecule: transfer RNA, 67 nt
Filed under: Psephenidae sp. BMNH 842687
Lineage: Eukaryota; Metazoa; Arthropoda; Insecta; Coleoptera; Psephenidae
Description: tRNA-Ser
Source: RNAcentral